GGUUUUUUUAAGUCUGAUGUGAAAGCCCUCGGCUUAACCGAGGAAGCGCAUCGGAAACUGGGAAACUUGAGUGCAGAAGAGGACAGUGGAACUCCAUGUGUAGCGGUGAAAUGCGUAGAUAUAUGGAAGAACACCAGUGGCGAAGGCGGCUGUCUGGUCUGUAACUGACGCUGAGGCUCGAAAGCAUGGGUAGCGAACAGGAUUAGAUACCCUGGUAGUCCAUGCCGUAAACGAUGAAUGCUAGGUGUUGGAGGGUUUCCGCCCUUCAGUGCCGCAGCUAACGCAUUAAGCAUUCCGCCUGGGGAGUACGACCGCAAGGUUGAAACUCAAAGGAAUUGACGGGGGCCCGCACAAGCGGUGGAGCAUGUGGUUUAAUUCGAAGCAACGCGAAGAACCUUACCAGGUCUUGACAUCUUUUGAUCACCUGAGAGAUCAGGUUUCCCCUUCGGGGGCAAAAUGACAGGUGGUGCAUGGUUGUCGUCAGCUCGUGUCGUGAGAUGUUGGGUUAAGUCCCGCAACGAGCGCAACCCUUAUGACUAGUUGCCAGCAUUUAGUUGGGCACUCUAGUAAGACUGCCGGUGACAAACCGGAGGAAGGUGGGGAUGACGUCAAAUCAUCAUGCCCCUUAUGACCUGGGCUACACACGUGCUACAAUGGAUGGUACAACGAGUUGCGAGACCGCGAGGUCAAGCUAAUCUCUUAAAGCCAUUCUCAGUUCGGACUGUAGGCUGCAACUCGCCUACACGAAGUCGGAAUCGCUAGUAAUCGCGGAUCAGCACGCCGCGGUGAAUACGUUCCCGGGCCUUGUACACACCGCCCGUCACACCAUGAGAGUUUGUAACACCCGAAGCCGGUGGCGUAACCCUUUAGGAGCGAGCCGUCUAAGGUGACAACGAUGCA
This 900-nucleotide ribosomal RNA is filed under the name Lacticaseibacillus paracasei. RNAcentral describes it as "bacterial SSU rRNA". It matches the Rfam family "Bacterial small subunit ribosomal RNA", at positions 577 to 1475 of the family's 1533-position model. Lineage: Bacteria; Bacillati; Bacillota; Bacilli; Lactobacillales; Lactobacillaceae. The record is from RNAcentral.